Molecule: long non-coding RNA, 4036 nt
Filed under: Sus scrofa (pig)
Lineage: Eukaryota; Metazoa; Chordata; Mammalia; Artiodactyla; Suidae
Description: lncRNA (ENSSSCG00005031222.1)
Rfam family: tRNA (bases 3920-3991)
Source: RNAcentral
AUUGGCAUGUGAAGGUGGCAGGGCUGCUGUCCUUGAUCUCAGGGACCUUGUGCAAGUCAUGGAGCGGGCACCCCAGCCAUUAGCCUUCUGUGCGUCCCAUCGCUGUGCUCAGCUGCAAGCAUUACCCCCUUUCCUCCUCGAUGCCACCAAAUAUGGCAUCUAUUCUCCAGCUAGAUGCUAGGUAGGGCCACACUCAUCUAGCGAGCAUCUGCUUACACGUGAUAAGCCUGCUCACCAGGGGGAGAGCGUGCUGAUUUAUGCAGACUUUCUAGGAGAGCAGAACCCAAGGUGGCAACUUCUCACCCCAGAACAAAACAACGGCUUUGCACCGUCUAUGGAGGUCUCACGUGUGUUCAAUUGGCUUGGGCUCCUCUCAGGACUGGGAGUGGGCCAGACCCUGGAGCUCCGUCUCCUCCUCGAGGUCCUGACCACAAGACUGGGCUCUCGGCUUUGCGACCCAGCAAAAUGUGCAUCUCCUCCUGCACUUUUCUAGUGCUUAGUUUUAGAGAAGCCGUCACUAAUCUGUGGAGUAAAGGCGUGUGUCCCAAACUGCUUCCUUCCUCCUGACAGCUUACAGUUCCGGUUUGGGGAGCUAGAGAUGAAUAUACUGGGGGCAUCUGGCGGGGAUGAAAUGCUCUCCCUUUGCCCCAGCACAGAGGCGGGCCCCUCUCCGUCUCUGAAGAGAAGGCUGGCUUUGUCGUCUAGACCUUGCUUUUAUUUUUAACUGUUUAUGUAACACAGAUUCAGAAAAGUACACAAAACAUAAACGACGGCUUGAUGAAUUAUCACGAAGUGAACACCCUUGUAACCACCGUCCAGAUCAAGAAAUGGAACCCUGCCAGCGCCCCAGAGGUCUCCGGAUCACAACCCCUUCCCUCGCUACCAAAUAUCACAAUAGCCUGGUUUUUUUUGCCCCCAGACAAACAAUUUUUUAGUGAAGUUGUUGGCAAUGUUUUCAUUGCAUUUUUUUGAAUGUAUUGAAUUUUAUUGAAUUGAAUUAAUGUUUACGAUGUUUUUAUUGAAGUUGAUUUAUGAGGUUAUGUUAGUUGCUGGUGUACAGCAAAGUAAUUCAGUUUAUAUGUAUGUAUAUACUCAUAUUCUAUUCCAUUACGGUUUAUUACAAGAUCUGAAUAUAGUUCCCUGUGCUAUACAGUAGGUCCUUGUUUAUUUUAUAUAAGGUAGUAUAAUCUGUUAAUCCCAAACUCCUAAUUUAUCCUUCCCCCUUUUCCGCUAAGGUAACCAUAAGUUUGUUUUCUUUGCCUAUGACUCUAUUUCUGUUGUAAAUAAGUUCCUUUGUGUCUUUUGUUAAUUUGAAUCUUUUUAAAGAUUCUACAUAUAAGUGCGAUCAUGUGAUAUUUGUCUCUCUCUGAUUUAACUUCACUUAGUAUGAUAAUCUCUAGGUCCAUGCAUGUUGCUGCAAAAUGGCAUUAUUUCAUUCUUUUUUAUGGCUGAGUAGUAUUCUACUGCAUGUGAAUAUGUAUGUGUAUUACAUCUUCUUUAUUUAUUCAUCUGUCCAUGGACACUUCAGUUGCUUCCAUGUCUUGGCUGUUGUGAAUAGUGCUGCUAUGAACCUUGGGAUGCAUGCAUGUAUCUUCAAAUUCAAGUUUUCAUCUUUUCUGGAUAUGUCCCCAGGAAUGGGAUUGCUAGAUCAUAUGGUAACUCUAGCCUUAGUUUUCUGAGGAACCUCCAGACUGUUCCCAUAGUAGCUGUACCAACCUACAUUCCCACAAACAGUGUAGGCAGGUUCCCUUUACUCCACGCCUUCUCCAGCGUUGAUUAUUUGUAGACUCUUUGUUGAUGACUGUUCUGACCUGUGUGAGGUGAUACCUCAUUGUAGCUUUGAUUGGUGUUUCUCUAAAAUUAUCAAUGUUGAGCAUCUUUUCAUGUGCCUGUUUGGCCUGGCUUUUAUACGAGUUGCUUUCUUACUUCUUAAAACAGUUAAUCUCCCCACUAAUAUGCACCUCUAAGUGCUCUGAUUUAGUUGUGCCUAUUUUUUUUUUAAUUUUCUAUAAGGAGAAUACUUAUGUAUUCUUUGGUAUCUGGCUUCUUUUGCUCAACAUAUUUUUGCGGAAUUCAUGCAUUUUUGUUGUGUGGAAAUGUCAUUUAUUCAUUCCCAUUGCUGUGUAUCACUCCAUUGAAUGAUGAGCACAAUUUUUGUAUCCGAUUUGUUGAUGGACAUUUGGUUUGUUUACCGUUUGGGAAUGUUACCCCGAAAUGCUGCCGUGGUCGUUGUUGGACGUGUCUUUUGGUCAGCCUGUGUGUGCAUGUGUGGGUCCGAGUGCCUUCUGUGGGGUGUACCUGGUGAUGGAAUCACAGCACCUCAUCUUCUCCUUACAUUGGCCUUGUCCGCAGCAGGGGAAGCUUGGCUCACUGUCCAGCCUCUGUACGCCUGGCUUGGCUCCAAGCUCCUCCUGGGGCCCUUUUGCCUUCCUGGGUGUCAUGGAAGUAGAGCCCUAAAGCUUGUGUGUGCUGGGCAUGGUUAACGGCACAGGCAGAUGUCUGAGUGGUGUGUAGGAGGCUGGGAGGAGGGCGUGGAGGCAGCGUUGUGGGCACAGCCUGUCCAUCACAGCCCUCCAGGGAGACCCAAAUGCCCAACCCUGUAAGCUCUGGUGUCCACCUGCCGUGUUUCUUCCUGAGUGGCUCUGGGGCCCUUCCAGCACACUGCGUGGGGAAUGGUCAGGGAGGCCGAGGCCUCAGCAGAACCUCCUGGCCACUGCUUGCGGUGCAGCUAAGCUAUUAAUGUAUUUUCAUAAUCAAAACAGAAAAGUCCCAUUGUGGCACGAACGCCUUUGCCAUCAAGUGUUUUUUGUUUCCUAACAAAAUUCCAAGUUGCAAAAGCAAGUCAGCUUAGCAAAGACACAAUACCAAUUAAUGGCCCCUUGCCAUUUGGAGCAGCCAGGCAAGCUCCCAGUACAUAACGGUUGGCCAGCCUGUGUUUUAUUGGGGGAAUUCUUCUUCUCAUGACACAAGAAGUCCAGAGGCAGGCAGUCCUAUGGCUCCGUGUUGACUCCUUAGGUAUUUUUGCUCUGUUAUCCUCAGCGUAUGACCUUUUUCCUCAUGCUUUCACAAUGGCUGCUGUAUCUCUAGGCUUCAUAUCUGCAUUCCAGGCAAGAAGAAAGGGGGAGGGAAGCUGGCUUUUGCCAACUGACUCUUACCCAUUUUAAUGAGGGAAACUAACUUUCUGGAAGCACUAAGCAAUAGGCUUCCCCAUAUAUUUUUUUAGUUAGAACUGGAUCACAUGGCUGCAGGGGAGCCUGGAGGCUAAACGCAGUGUUACUCUGAACAAAAUCAGGGAUCCCUACAGUUAAGCAAGAAGAGGAAAAUGGAUAUGGAAAGGCAGCUAACAGCAGGUGCUCUGAUUUCAUAGAAACUAGGGAAUAAGUGUCACAUAAAGUAAAACUUUCCUUGAUAACAGACUUAUUCCCACGAGCACCAGAAUGUGUCUUCAUCUUUACAAGUGGUUCAAGAAGGCAGACACAUUUUCUUUGAGACAGUCUGUUGACAUUUGCCCCCCUGUGGCUGGGAGUCUCAUUACCUCUGUUGGGGUGUGGUUUGAAGGGCUGUCUUGCCCCUCCUGUGAUGGGUUGGAAAGACACCAACCUGAGCCAUAUUCCCCUGAUGGCAGAGAUAAAUCUAUUGUUUGGGCGACAUGGGGGAACCAAGAACAGAUGUCUUGGCAUGACUUUCUCUUGUUCCCUUCCCUUGACAAGGCAGAGUGGAGUUUCUUUUUCUUCCUUCCUUCCAAUAAGUAUUUUUUAUAUCUGAUUACAAAAUGAUUAUGUGUUCAUCGUGGAAAAUUUGAGAAACAGAAAAAUGUAAAAGAAAAAUUUUAAAUCACUCAAAUAUUUGUGUGUGUGUGUGUGUGUGUGUGUGUGUGGACUGAGAGAGAGGGGUCUUUUGAAAGAUGGGCCUUAGGAGUUCCCUGGUGGUCUAGUGGUUAGGACUCAGUGCUUUAAGCACUGUGGCCCGGGUUUAAUCCCUGGUCUGGGAACUGAGAUCCCACAUCAAGCAACUGGUCACUGUGGCCAAAAAAAAA